AACGAACGCUGGCGGCAUGCCUUACACAUGCAAGUCGAACGAGAUCUUCGGGUCUAGUGGCGCACGGGUGCGUAACGCGUGGGAAUCUGCCCUUUGGUUCGGAAUAACAGUUGGAAACGACUGCUAAUACCGGAUGAUGACGAAAGUCCAAAGAUUUAUCGCCAGAGGAUGAGCCCGCGUAGGAUUAGCUAGUUGGUGUGGUAAAGGCGCACCAAGGCGACGAUCCUUAGCUGGUCUGAGAGGAUGAUCAGCCACACUGGGACUGAGACACGGCCCAGACUCCUACGGGAGGCAGCAGUGGGGAAUAUUGGACAAUGGGCGAAAGCCUGAUCCAGCAAUGCCGCGUGAGUGAUGAAGGCCUUAGGGUUGUAAAGCUCUUUUACCCGGGAUGAUAAUGACAGUACCGGGAGAAUAAGCUCCGGCUAACUCCGUGCCAGCCGCCGCCGGUAA
This 450-nucleotide ribosomal RNA is filed under the name uncultured bacterium. Its description in RNAcentral is "partial 16S ribosomal RNA". It matches the Rfam family "Bacterial small subunit ribosomal RNA", at positions 29 to 523 of the family's 1533-position model. The record is from RNAcentral.